This 153-nucleotide unclassified non-coding RNA is filed under the name Schizothecium glutinans. RNAcentral describes it as "partial internal transcribed spacer 2". The record is from RNAcentral. Lineage: Eukaryota; Fungi; Ascomycota; Sordariomycetes; Sordariales; Schizotheciaceae.
CAACCAUCAAGCGCCUGCGCUUGUGUUGGAGCCCUGCGGCUGCCGCAGGCUCCCAAACCCAGUGGCGGGCUCGUCGUCGUACCGAGUGCAGUAAAUUUACCACGCUCAGGGCGCGCGACGGGUGACCGGCCGUAAAACCCCCCAACUUAUCAA